AACUCUUCUCAGUAGUUGCUGUCUCCAAAUUUGGUUUAAGUUUUCAGUCUUUUCUUAAGACAGUGUGUGAGUGUAACAGGCAGUGCUGGGCAGUGACCCAGGGUGUUGACUGCUGGCCUGCCCACAACAAGCCUUUGGACUACCUGCCAGGCUAGGCCCAAAGACGAGGUGGGAAACUCCUUGAGUAGGGGACAUUCUUCCGCAGGCUGGGGAGACCUGUCUUAAUCUGCCACUUCCUUUAGCUUAAACAAGCAUGAAAGAUAAAAUGACAAGUCACUGAAAUUACUUGUUACUGUUUAAAAAAAAGAAUUUCUAAUUUUCUCAGAAGUGUUUAUUGUGUUCAAAAAUUAGAAGAGAAGGAAGGAAGAAGAGAGGGGGGAGAAGAAGGGAGGAAAGAAGAAAUCCUAGUCAGUCUCUUGACUCAACCGUCUCCUCUGUCCACUUCCAUACCGAAAUGCUUGCUUCAAUCUUCUGAAAUGUUCUGGUGGCUAUCAUCUACUGACCACCCCUGGAGCAUGGACACUCCCCGGACUGCUCGUUAGGAUCUCUGUGUGCAUUUUGUUUACAAUGGCCUGAAAAGAACUUGGGUCUAGAUGCUAAGACAAUAAGGAAUCUCAUUGGAUAAAGCAGAAAGCUUUGAAUCCAUUACAGAAGUACCUGCACUCUAUAAUUAUAUUUUAUAAGGAAGGUCAGUAUUCUAAAUUAGAUUCAUUAACUGUCAUAAAAUAUAUAACAUUUCUGGUAAUUUAAAACUGUU
RNAcentral lists this long non-coding RNA (757 nucleotides) under Equus caballus (horse). RNAcentral's name for it is "lncRNA (ENSECAG00000056218.1)". Lineage: Eukaryota; Metazoa; Chordata; Mammalia; Perissodactyla; Equidae. The record is from RNAcentral.